GAUGAACGCUAGCUACAGGCUUAACACAUGCAAGUCGAGGGGAAACGACAUCGAAAGCUUGCUUUUGAUGGGCGUCGACCGGCGCACGGGUGAGUAACGCGUAUCCAACCUGCCCACCACUUGGGGAUAACCUUGCGAAAGUAAGACUAAUACCCAAUGAUAUCUCUAGAAGAAAACAGAAAGAGAUUAAAGAUUUAUCGGUGAUGGAUGGGGAUGCGUCUGAUUAGCUUGUUGGCGGGGUAACGGCCCACCAAGGCUACGAUCAGUAGGGGUUCUGAGAGGAAGGUCCCCCACAUUGGAACUGAGACACGGUCCAAACUCCUACGGGAGUCAGCAGUGAGGAAUAUUGGUCAAUGGGCGAGAGCCUGAACCAGCCAAGUAGCGUGCAGGAUGACGGCCCUAUGGGUUGUAAACUGCUUUUAUAAGGGAAUAAAGUGAGCCUCGUGAGGCUUUUUGCAUGUACCUUAUGAAUAAGGACCGGCUAAUUCCGUGCCAGCAGCAGCCGCCG
Molecule: ribosomal RNA, 508 nt
Filed under: uncultured bacterium
Lineage: Bacteria
Description: partial 16S ribosomal RNA
Rfam family: Bacterial small subunit ribosomal RNA
Source: RNAcentral